CCUACGGGAGGCAGCAGUGGGGAAUAUUGCACAAUGGGGGAAACCCUGAUGCAGCAACGCCGCGUGAGCGAUGAAGGCCUUCGGGUCGUAAAGCUCUGUCCUAAGGGAAGAAGCAUGACGGUACCUUAGGAGGAAGCCCCGGCUAACUACGUGCCAGCAGCCGCGGUAAUACGGAGGGGGCGAGCGUUAUCCGGAAUCACUGGGCGUAAAGGGUGCGUAGGCGGCCAAUUAAGCCAGAGGUGAAAGGCUACGGCUCAACCGUAGUAAGCCUCUGGAACUGAAUGGCUUGAGUGGAGGAGGGGAGAGUGGAAUUCCUAGUGUAGCGGUGAAAUGCGUAGAUAUUAGGAGGGACACCAGUUGCGAAGGCGGCUCUCUGGACUGUAACUGACGCUGAGGCACGAAAGCGUGGGGAGCGAACAGGAUUAGAUACCCUAGUAGUC
This 440-nucleotide ribosomal RNA is filed under the name uncultured bacterium. RNAcentral describes it as "bacterial SSU rRNA". It matches the Rfam family "Bacterial small subunit ribosomal RNA", at positions 338 to 795 of the family's 1533-position model. The record is from RNAcentral.